CCCGAGCUUAUCGCUUGGCGAGUGCUACUGACCAGUCGAAGCUGAAGUGACCGAGUGUGGAGAAAGCCGUGGGCCCACUGGUCCGGUAAAGUUGUAAAAUAGAUCUCGAGGAGGUGUUCGGAUAAAUUCUUGUCACAUCGUAUGUUCAAAUACUAAUUAGAAGUAUUAAAUAUAGUCUAAUUAAAAAACUAAUUGUACAGAUGAAGUCUAAUUCGCGAGACGAAUCUAUUAAGCCUAAUUAGUUCAUGAUUUGAGGGCCCACUGGUCCAGGCAUGGGGCAAAGUUGUAAAAUAGAUCUCGAGGAGUUGCAGGAGGUGUUCGGAUACAUUCUUGUCACAUCGGAUGUUUGAAUACUAAUUAGGAGUAUUAAAUAUAGUCUAAUUAAAAAAACUAAUUGUACAAAUGGAGUCUAAUUCGCGAGACGAAUCUAUUAAGCAUAAUUAAUUCAUGAUUUGACAAUGUGGUGCUACAGUAAUCAUUUGCUAAUGAUGGAUUAAUUAGGCUUAAUAGAUUCGUCUCGCGAAUUAGUAUAGGGGUUCUGUAGUUAGUUUUAUAAUUAGCUCAUGUUUAGUCCUCCUAAUUAACGUCCGAACAUUCGAUGUAACCCUCCUAAAGUUUAGCACCUCGUAUCCAAACAGCCCCAUAGGAGUGAGUAAGGAGAAAUUAGCUGCGUUGAGACUCUAAAUAACGAGGCUUCGCAUAUUUCACAUCCGAAAUAUUUGCUCCGCCGUUUUGACACCCGAAACAUUAGGUUGCUUGAUUUUGUGACAUUCUUCUCUUUUUAAUCUAUUUUCUUUUUUUUUUACAUUUUGACCUAUCAAAUGACAUAUGUGCCCU
RNAcentral lists this long non-coding RNA (837 nucleotides) under Setaria italica (foxtail millet). RNAcentral's name for it is "long non-coding RNA (SITA_LNC007532)". The record is from RNAcentral. Lineage: Eukaryota; Viridiplantae; Streptophyta; Magnoliopsida; Poales; Poaceae.